GGAGUUUGGACCGUGUCUCAGUUCCAAUGUGGGGGACCUUCCUCUCAGAACCCCUACUGAUCGCAGGCUUGGUGGGCCGUUACCCCGCCAACAACCUAAUCAGACGCAUCCCCAUCCUAUAGCGGUAAACCUUUGGUAUUCAUCUGAUGUCAUCAAAAUACAACAUAGGGUAUUAAUCCGCAUUUCUACGGGCUAUCCCCUACUAUAGGGAAGGUUGGAUACGCGUUACUCACCCGUGCGCCGGUCGCCAUCAAAGUUUGCAAGCAAACUUCAUGCUGCCCCUCGACUUGCAUGUGUUAAGCCUGUAGCUAGCGUUCAUC
This 320-nucleotide ribosomal RNA is filed under the name uncultured Prevotella sp. RNAcentral describes it as "partial 16S ribosomal RNA". The record is from RNAcentral. Lineage: Bacteria; Pseudomonadati; Bacteroidota; Bacteroidia; Bacteroidales; Prevotellaceae.